GGGGCUGACACGGUUUCGAUCGUGAUCUGGCCGUUGCCAUGGGAGCGUGCCGAGGGUGCCCACGCGACCUCGCUAAUCACGCGCGGGAACACACAACUGCCAACGAUGAGAUGGCACUCGCAGCUUAAACACCUGCGACGAUCCGCCUCCGACGCCUCGUAGGAGGGUCGGAUCGACAUCACGAGGCUCAACCCCGCGGACUUGACCACCGGGCCAAGGGGAACACUGAACGGUGGUAUGGGACACGGAUGCUGUCUGGCUCCGGAGCACCGUGCCCGAGAACAUCCGGAACCUACGCACGUAGAGCCCAGCGC
This 314-nucleotide transfer-messenger RNA is filed under the name Nitriliruptor sp. RNAcentral's name for it is "partial transfer-messenger RNA". It matches the Rfam family "transfer-messenger RNA", at positions 1 to 329 of the family's 374-position model. Rfam says of the family: Bacterial tmRNA, also known as 10Sa RNA or SsrA, is named for its dual tRNA and mRNA-like properties. Its role is to liberate the mRNA from a stalled ribosome. The record is from RNAcentral. Lineage: Bacteria; Bacillati; Actinomycetota; Nitriliruptoria; Nitriliruptorales; Nitriliruptoraceae.